CGGAAGUGGCGCGCAUGUUCCGCGCCGACGAGAAAUUUCUCAUGGACUCUCACUGGCUCGCGGCGCCAAAAGAAGAUCGAGAGUGGAAGCUGCGCAUGCGCGCAAUAAGCGCCAGCAACAACCCUCUCUCCCUUUACUCCCUUCUCUGUUAAACUUUCUGACAAGGCAGAGACGGAAGGGGUAGCGGAAGGUUUGAGGCUGAUCCGGGAAGAGCCAGGAGAGCCCGUAGACCCUGGGGUGAUGGGGGCUUCUUCCUCCGCACUUUUAUCCUGAAUGAAUUGUGGGGAUGACAAAGGAAGGGUGGGAGCUGUCCAGAAAAGGCGGACGGAAGGCCAGCGGCUCGACCCGUCAGUUCUGGAUGAUGUUUCCAUCACUUGAAAAGACGUAACACCAGGCAUUAAAGGGGCAGGGACGCUACACUGCCAGAGAGGAGGCAAGGCAGCCCCAAGCCGGAAAACUUUUAUUUGCUGUACACUAAGAGGUCAUCUCAUGCUUUCACACCAGUCCACCGCCUGUGCUCCUGUGACUGCUUAGGCUCAGCUCUGGCUCUGCUGCUGUCGCUGCUGAUUGUUUUCCUCUUCUUCCCGGCCCUCGGGUGGGGUCAGGGGUGUCUCCUCCAGCCCUGAGGAGGAUGCCAGGAGCUCCCCGGAGGACGCUGACAAGCGGAAGACCACCGGGAUGCGGGCCAGGGUUGGGUUGGUCUCCUGCAGGCCCUGGAUCCACUUGGCCAGCGUGGCCUGGUCAUGAGCACCCGCCAUGCAUAUGGCGAAGACAGGGCCUUCCUCCACUGUCAGGAGAGACAGGCCCUCAGUUUGUGCAGUAGGGACUGGAGCAGCCCCCUCAAGCCCACAUCCCUUCCAGGCCAAGGAUGGGGGCUUUAAGCUCCCUUUGUCCUUUUCUGUGUUUCCAAGCCUUUGCACAUGCUCUGCCUAGCCUGCCUGUCCCAUGCUUCACCUAGGUGACACCUCCUGGCUCAAGUUUCCACCAGGAAAUCCUCCUGACUCCCACCUGAGGCUGAGUUGUGUGCUCCUCCCCAAGAAUGUAACUUGUCUGAUCCACCGCUGGCCUGAGGGAAGGGACUGGGCCUGUCCUGGUCACGCCCAGUAGCCAGCACAGAGGUGCUCCAUAAACGUUUGAAGGAGGAUGUUUGAGGGCUGACAGGUCUGGAGCCCCUGAGUGGGCCUUACCUACGAUGUGGGGCUCCGUGGGAUCCGUGGCAUCUGUGGAGUCUUUGGACAAAGGCAUCUGCAAGGAAAGUCGGAGUGGAAGCUUGCAGCCCCCACAGCCCCUACGGAGGAGCCCGGGAGAGAGAAAUGGGGAUUCCAGUGAAUUCAGGACCCCUCUUGGGUCUGUCUACUGGGCCUCCAACAAUCACUCGAGCCCACCGCCUUCUUGCUUCUAUCUAAUUGGGACAGCGAUCCCGCACUCCUGCUGCCGUGGGUAGUGGAGGAAGAUGCUGUGGAAGAUGUUGCGAGGCCGGAAGACCUCCUUGGGGAAGAUGUCAAGCAGCAGGUUGUAGAUAGCCAGGUCCCGCUCGACGCCGUACUCCCGCAUCUUGCGCAGGGCCAGGUAGAUGAAGUCGACGUGGCCCCGCUUGUGCACGUUGUACUGCGUAAAGUUCUGCACCGCCUGCACGAAGCUCGCCUUGUCCCGCACCCCAUCUGGCGCCUGCCUAAACAGCUCCUCAUGGGGUGCCAGGGCCUUGACCAGCCCCCUCUGGGGUUCGGGUGGGCGUGGGACCAGCGGCGAGUCAGGGUUGUGGGCAGCUGUGCUGCAGUGGAGGCCCCGCGGGGCCUGGGGCGUCACCUGCGGAUAGAGAACCACUGCUGGAAUGUGGGUCUCCCAGUGCCCCUGGGGGACUGCCGCACUGGCUCUUUGCUGAGAAAGGUGCCAGCAGGCCUCCCUAAGGGCCACUGAAGAAGUGUGCUGCGUGCGUUACAGACCCAUGAUCAGGCACCAUCACAAAGUGUGAGAGAGCAAUGGUAACGCCCCGACGGAGGCAAUGUUCACCACGAUGACAGACACACACCCUCUGACGCAGCAAUCCUGCAUCUGGUAUUUAAAUUGGAUAGCUCUAAAAGCACCUGCACCAAAUGACUUUUGUUCGUCUGCUGCGUCAGUGGAAAUGGCCCAAAUGUGCAUCGGCAAGGAAAUAAUUUAGCAAAUGGCCAAGCACCUGGACAAGGAGCACCUACCGCUGUAAGGCGCACUGAGGAGGUCUUGUGUGACCUGGAGUGAGCUCCAGGGUAUACCAUUAAAUGAAAAAAAAACAAGGUGUGAAACGGUGUGUACAGUAGCUUCCCAUUUGUGUAAAAAAAAGAAAACAACAACAGCUUAUAUAUAGUUGGUCCUCAUUAUUUGCGAAUUCCAUGUUUGCAAAGUUGCCUACUUGCUAAAAUUCAUUUAUACUCCCAAAGCCAAUACUCUUGGCACUUUCUGGCCAUUUGCAGACACGUGCAGGGGGGUGGAAAGUUGAGUUGCCCAGCGCCUAUAUUCCCAGCUGAGAUGGAACAAGGCAAUGCUUGGCCUUCUUGUAUCAGCCCCCAUGCUGUCAACAAGUGUCCUUUUAUUUUAUAUUACUUUGUUUUAUUUUUUUGUCUGUGCUGCAUGUCUUGCAGGAACUAGUUCCCCAACGAGGGAUCGAACUUGGGUUCCCGGCGGUGAAAGCACUGAGUCCUAACCGCUCGACCGCCAGGGAAUUCCCAACGAGUGUCCUUUUAGAGGUUUAUUUAUUAUUAUUUUAAAAUUUUUAUUUAUUUAUUUUUGGCUGUGUUGGGUCUUCGUUGCUGUGCGCGGGCUUUCUCUAGUUGUGGUGAGCGGGUGCUACCCUUCGUUGAGGUGCGCCGGCUUCUCAUUGCGGUGGCUUCUCUUGUUGCAGAGCACAGGCGCUAGGCAUGUGGGCUUCAGUAGUUGUGGCUCACAGGCUCUAGAAUGCAGACUCAGUAGUUGUGGCACACGGGCUUAGUUGCUCCGCAGCAUGUGGGAUCUUCCCAGACCAGGGCUUGAACCCGUGUCCCCUGCGUUGGCAGGUGGAUUCUCAACCACUGUGCCACCAGGAAAGUCCCUAGAGGUUUAUUUAGUGUAUGUUUUCUGCAUCUUUUUUGUUGAUUUGUGGUUGAAAAGGACCCCUAAGCGUGCCUAGUGUUCCUACGUGCAAGAAGGCCCUGCUGUUCCUUAGAGAAGAUACAUGUGGUAGGUAAGCUCAGGCAUGAGUUAUAGUGCUGUUGGCCGUGGGUUCAAUGUUAAUGAAUCAAAAAGCUAUAUUAAAUAGGAUGUCUUUAAACAGAAACACACAUACAACAAUGUUAUGACU
This is a long non-coding RNA of Globicephala melas (long-finned pilot whale), 3313 nucleotides long. RefSeq lists it as uncharacterized. NCBI's taxonomy places the organism in Eukaryota, Metazoa, Chordata, Mammalia, Artiodactyla, Delphinidae. The record is from RefSeq and is a predicted model, not a curated record.